RNAcentral lists this ribosomal RNA (499 nucleotides) under uncultured Glomeromycotina. RNAcentral's name for it is "partial small subunit ribosomal RNA". It matches the Rfam family "Eukaryotic small subunit ribosomal RNA", at positions 591 to 1092 of the family's 1831-position model. The record is from RNAcentral. Lineage: Eukaryota; Fungi; Glomeromycota.
CCAAUAGCGUAUAUUAAAGUUGUUGCAGUUAAAAAGCUCGUAGUUGAAUUUCGGGGUCAGUAGGUCGGUCGUGCCACUGGUAUGAACUGGUUUCACUGAUUCCUCCCUCUUGUAGAACCGUAAUGCCAUUAACUUGGUGUUGCGGGGAAACAGGACUGUUACUUUGAAAAAAUUAGAGUGUUUAAAGCAGGCUAACGCUUGAAUACAUUAGCAUGGAAUAAUGACAUAGGACGUCUGUCUUAUUUUGUUGGUUUCUAGGAUGGACGUAAUGAUUAAUAGGGAUAGUUGGGGGCAUUAGUAUUCAAUUGUCGGAGGUGAAAUUCUUGGAUUUAUUGAAGACUAACUACUGCGAAAGCAUUUGCCAAGGAUGUUUUCAUUAAUCAAGAACGAAAGUUAGGGGAUCGAAGACGAUCAGAUACCGUCGUAGUCUUAACCAUAAACUAUGCCGACUAGGGAUCGGAUGAUGUUAAUUUUUUAAUGACUCAUUCGGCGCCUUACG